GGUUAGUCAGGGGACAAUUUGAAAAUUCCCUCCCAGAGAGCUGAAAAGUGUCCUGGAGUUCUUAACGUGAGUUCCAAGGAAGCCAAAUAAUUGUAAUGUGAUGCGUUAUUCUUUCACAGCAACCUGUCGAGUAUGGCUUCCUGAUAACAGAGCGUUUGCCCAAGUCUUAUUGCAACCAGAAUCGAAAGUUAGAAGAAACAUGCCAGCUCAAGAGAAAGGCCACAAAGCAGCAGGCAACCAAAACACUGGUGAAAAUCUUCUUGGACAACGAAAACAUAUUUUCAAGAGUUUUCAUAUCCAAGCUUAUUCUCAGAUUAUCAAUAUGAAAGGGCAAUAUUGAAAGGAGGAGGUGAGUUGAGAGCUCAAAAAAACAGAAAGUGAUUCCCGGGUAGACAAUAACAAUUCUAGCACUUUCUGGCUAUAGGGUUCCCCUUGGCAUGCAGCCACCUCAUUUAGAGUUAACAAUGGACAUCCAUCAAAUCUUCAUUUAAAAUAAAAGUCAUGCUGCAA
Long non-coding RNA from Lemur catta (Ring-tailed lemur), 510 nucleotides. RefSeq lists it as uncharacterized. The transcript has 2 exons. NCBI's taxonomy places the organism in Eukaryota, Metazoa, Chordata, Mammalia, Primates, Lemuridae. The record is from RefSeq and is a predicted model, not a curated record.